This 331-nucleotide ribosomal RNA is filed under the name uncultured eukaryote. RNAcentral describes it as "partial 18S ribosomal RNA". It matches the Rfam family "Eukaryotic small subunit ribosomal RNA", at positions 1470 to 1796 of the family's 1831-position model. The record is from RNAcentral.
CCCUUAGAUGUUCUGGGCCGCACGCGCGCUACACUGUUCGACGCAGCGAGUCUUAACCUUGACCGAAAGGUUUGGGUAAUCUUCAGCAAAGUCGAACGUGAUGGGGAUCGAUCAUUGCAAUUAUUGAUCGUGAACGAAGAAUUCCUAGUAAGUGCAAGUCAUCAGCUUGUGCUGAUUACGUCCCUGCCCUUUGUACACACCGCCCGUCGCUACUACCGAUUGAAUGGUUUAGUGAGAUCUCUGGAUUGACGCUGGCUAGGGGGCGACCCUUGGCCAGGCUGUCGAGAAACUGCUCAAACUUGAUCAUUUAGAGGAAGUAAAAGUCGUAACA